This 448-nucleotide ribosomal RNA is filed under the name uncultured bacterium. Its description in RNAcentral is "bacterial SSU rRNA". It matches the Rfam family "Bacterial small subunit ribosomal RNA", at positions 329 to 793 of the family's 1533-position model. The record is from RNAcentral.
UUCCAGACUCCUACGGGAGGCAGCAGUGGGGAAUAUUGCACAAUGGGGGAAACCCUGAUGCAGCGACGCCGCGUGAGUGAAGAAGUAUUUCGGUAUGUAAAGCUCUAUCAGCAGGGAAGAAAAUGACGGUACCUGAUUAAGAAGCCCCGGCUAACUACGUGCCAGCAGCCGCGGUAAUACGGAGGAUGCGAGCGUUAUCCGGAUUUAUUGGGUUUAAAGGGUGCGUAGGCGGGAUGCCAAGUCAGCGGUAAAAAUGCGGUGCUCAACGCCGUCGAGCCGUUGAAACUGGCGUUCUUGAGUGGGCGAGAAGUAUGCGGAAUGCGUGGUGUAGCGGUGAAAUGCAUAGAUAUCACGCAGAACUCCGAUUGCGAAGGCAGCAUACCGGCGCCCUACUGACGCUGAGGCACGAAAGCGUGGGGAUCGAACAGGAUUAGAUACCCUGGUAUUG